GGUUCGAUUAUGGCUCGUGAUUGAACGCCGGCGUGGGGAUGCGCCACACAUGCAAAGUCGAACGGCAGCAUGGACUUCGGUCUGGUGGCGAGUGGCGAACGGGUGAGUAAUGUAUCGGAACGCUCAUAGCGGAUAACUACGCGAAAGCGUAGUUAAUACCGCAUACGCCCUUCGGGGGAGCGGGGAUCUUUCGGCCUGGCAAUUAUUAGAGCGGCCGGAUAACGGAUUAGCUAGCUGGUGGGUACCUGUCUACCAAGGUGACGAUCCGUAGUUGGUUUGAGAGGACGACCAGCCACACUGGAUCGAGAUGGCCCAGAUUCUACGAGGCAGCAGUGAAUUUUGGAUAAUGGGAAAACCGAUCCAGCCAUCCCGCGUGUGCGAUGAGGCUCUCGGGUUGUAAAGCACUUUUACAGGAAAGAAACGGUACGGAUAAUACCCCGUGCAACUGACGGUACCCGCAGAAUAGCGGCACCGAGCACUACGUGCCAGCAGCCGCGGUAAUACGUAGGGUGCAGCGUGUUAAUCGAAAUUACUGGCGGCGUGCGCAGGCGGUUCGAAAGAAAGAUGUGAAAUCCCAGAGCUAACUUUGAACUGCAUUUUAAUCAAUGAGCCAGAGUGUGUCAGAGAGGAGGUGAAUCCGCGUGCAGCAGUGAAAUGCGUAGAUAUGCGAUAACACGAUGGCUAGCGUUCUUCGGGAUACGAUUGAUGCUCGCGUACGAAAGCGGGAUAAAUAGGAUUAGAUACCCUGGCAGUCCAUGCUCUAAAUGAUGUCAAUUUGCGUUGCCAGCCUUUCGCCUGGUAGCAGCACGCGCAAAGUUGAUCGCUCAGAGCAUGGUCGUAAAGAUUAAAACUGUGAAUGACGUAUCCGCACAAGCGGUGGAUGAUGACUUCACCCGAUGCAACGCGGAAAACUUUACUACUUGACAUGUUCGGAAUCCCAGCAGAUCGGAGUGCCUCGCAAGAGAACCGAACAUGAGAAAGCGAUGGUUGCCGUCGCUCGUGUCGAGAUGCUAUGUCUGCAAUGCAAAUUUCGUCAAGGUUGCUAUGGUGGCAAGCGUAAUUUCUACGAGAUCGCCGGCAUUAAAAUUGACAGGCAGUGAUGACGUCAAGUCUCGCGGCUCUAUGGGUAGGGUUUCACACGUCACAUACGGUCGAUGGCAGGUCACACCCGCGAGGGGAGCAUCUUGAAACCCGAUCGUAGGUCCGGAUCGCGGUCUGCAACUCGACUGCGUGAAGUCGGAAUCGCUAGUAAUCGCGGAUCAGCAUGUCGCGGUGAAUACGUUCCCGGUCUUGUACACACUGCCCGUCACACUGGGCGGAGUGGUUUACUGAAGCAGCAGCCCAAUCGCAAGGAGGCGAUUAACACGGCAGAUUCAUGAUCAGCGAAGUCGCAACGGUAAAGUCGGUAUACUUCGAUGCUCUGUAUACAUGUACCUUGAACGA
Molecule: ribosomal RNA, 1443 nt
Filed under: uncultured Bordetella sp.
Lineage: Bacteria; Pseudomonadati; Pseudomonadota; Betaproteobacteria; Burkholderiales; Alcaligenaceae
Description: partial 16S-23S ribosomal RNA intergenic spacer
Rfam family: Bacterial small subunit ribosomal RNA
Source: RNAcentral